UCUAUAUGCAGUGCCUUGCAUUUGUCAACCAUAAACUUUGAUGUAAUUCAACAGGAUGAAUUAAGACCAACACAAAAAUGUGCAAAAAUGAUAAAGUCCAGGAAUUAUAGGUUUGGGUUUUAAUAUCUGAAAGGGUCUAUUACAGGGCGCUCUGCGUUUCUACUGACUUGAGGUUGUCCAGUGGAGUUUAAGUUUAGUAAUUUUCCCGUUCUGCUCUUUACAUGCGGACUGACCGACUGAAUUGUGGACUCAGGGAGCCUUCAAUGAGCGACAGAAGUGACCACUUAUUGAGAAAUGGCGUGUGAAAAUCCCGAUUGACUUUGAUAGUGAUGCCGAUCUGAUGUGGACUGUGGACGGGUGUAAGCGGUGUGGCCAGCCCGGACAUCAUUUUGCAGAAGAACUUUCAGUCCAGAAACUCCAUUUUGGGUAACAGAUAAGAUCCCAUACACAGCACGACCUGGUAGCAACGUUGCUACAGAACUGAAAUCAAUUUUUAUGUUAUUUUUCCAAGAGGGGAAAAAUAAAAAAUAA
This is a long non-coding RNA of Poecilia latipinna (sailfin molly), 531 nucleotides long. RefSeq lists it as uncharacterized. Lineage: Eukaryota; Metazoa; Chordata; Actinopteri; Cyprinodontiformes; Poeciliidae. The transcript has 2 exons. The record is from RefSeq and is a predicted model, not a curated record.